This 442-nucleotide ribosomal RNA is filed under the name uncultured bacterium. RNAcentral's name for it is "partial 16S ribosomal RNA". It matches the Rfam family "Bacterial small subunit ribosomal RNA", at positions 338 to 795 of the family's 1533-position model. The record is from RNAcentral.
CCUACGGGAGGCAGCAGUGGGGAAUAUUGGGCAAUGGGCGCAAGCCUGACCCAGCAACGCCGCGUGAAGGAAGAAGGCUUUCGGGUUGUAAACUUCUUUUAAGAGGGAAGAGUAGAAGACGGUACCUCUUGAAUAAGCCACGGCUAACUACGUUCCAGCAGCCGCGGUAAUACGUAGGUGGCAAGCGUUGUCCGGAUUUACUGGGUGUAAAGGGCGUGUAGCCGGGCUUACAAGUCAGAUGUGAAAUUCCGGGGCUCAACCCCGGACCUGCAUUUGAAACUGUUGGUCUUGAGUAUCGGAGAGGCAGGCGGGAUUCAUAGUGUAGCGGUGAAAUGCGUAGAUAUUAGGAGGAACACCAGUGGCGAAGGCGGCCUGCUGGACGAUAACUGACGGUGAGGCGCGAAAGCGUGGGGAGCAAACAGGAUUAGAUACCCUUGUAGUC